GCUAGGAUGGCGGAACCUGGUAACGCGCAGGACUUGAGAUCCUGUGAGCUUCGGCUCUCGAGGGUUCGAAUCCCUCUCCUAGCG
This 84-nucleotide transfer RNA is filed under the name Candidatus Woesearchaeota archaeon. RNAcentral's name for it is "tRNA-Ser". It matches the Rfam family "tRNA". From Rfam's summary of the family: Transfer RNA (tRNA) molecules are approximately 80 nucleotides in length. Their secondary structure includes four short double-helical elements and three loops (D, anti-codon, and T loops). The record is from RNAcentral. Lineage: Archaea; Nanobdellati; Candidatus Woesearchaeota.